GACGAACGCUGGCGGCGUGCCUAAUACAUGUAAGUAGAACGCUGAAGGAGGAGCUUGCUUCUCUGGAUGAGUUGCGAACGGGUGAGUAACGCGUAGGUAACCUGCCUGGUAGCGGGGGAUAACUAUUGGAAACGAUAGCUAAUACCGCAUAAUAGUAGAUGUUGCAUGACAUUUGCUUAAAAGGUGCAAUUGCAUCACUACCAGAUGGUCCUGCGUUGUAUUAGCUAGUUGGUGGGGUAACGGCUCACCAAGGCGACGAUACAUAGCCGACCUGAGAGGGUGAUCGGCCACACUGGGACUGAGACACGGCCCAGACUCCUACGGGAGGCAGCAGUAGGGAAUCUUCGGCAAUGGACGGAAGUCUGACCGAGCAACGCCGCGUGAGUGAAGAAGGUUUUCGGAUCGUAAAGCUCUGUUGUAAGAGAAGAACGAGUGUGAGAGUGGAAAGUUCACACUGUGACGGUAUCUUACCAGAAAGGGACGGCUAACUACGUG
This 495-nucleotide ribosomal RNA is filed under the name uncultured bacterium. Its description in RNAcentral is "partial 16S ribosomal RNA". It matches the Rfam family "Bacterial small subunit ribosomal RNA", at positions 28 to 507 of the family's 1533-position model. The record is from RNAcentral.